GGAACAGUAGCCCGGUUAAAAUAGUUUCUGUACUUCCAGAGGAAGCAAUUAAAUCUCAGCGUCUACCAUGGCAAAAGACCGAUUGUACUUGAGGAACAAAAUCGGGGAUGAUCAUCCUUUAGUGGCGGGAAGCUGGAAAAUGAGGGACUGUGGGCUGUGAGGAGAGAGAAAGAGGCUUGAGAAACCAGAAACCAUCAUUUGCAUCCAA
Molecule: long non-coding RNA, 208 nt
Filed under: Homo sapiens (human)
Lineage: Eukaryota; Metazoa; Chordata; Mammalia; Primates; Hominidae
Description: HSALNT0209314
Source: RNAcentral